Molecule: transfer RNA, 81 nt
Filed under: Acidobacteriota bacterium
Lineage: Bacteria; Pseudomonadati; Acidobacteriota
Description: Acidobacteria bacterium tRNA-Asp
Source: RNAcentral
UCGGCCAAGCGCCCACGGUUAGAUGAGCGCUCCUGCCUGUCGCGCAGAAGGUCGCGAGCUCGAGUCUCGUCGUCCCAGCCA